CUCCUAGAUGAUAAAACAAUUACCAGGACACUAGAUAACAUGGCCACAUAAAUGUAGCUAAAGAUUACAUUUCCAACACUGCCAAUUCUUUAAUGUCAAUGUUACGAAUGAUGUAUACUCUGAAAAGGUCUUUACAAUUUGACAAAAUGCUCUCCAACACUCAAUUGUAUGCUUGAAUAUCAAGGAAUUCCUUUCAUUCCAGAAGCUCAAGUGACACACCGUGUAAUAUCUGCAUGUCUUACAUUCUUCUUGUAAACAAGAGGCAGAAAAAGACUACAAGUUUGUAUCAAUUUUCAAAAUGAGCAGGCAAAGGAGCUGCAUAUCUCAAACUCGCAGUGUAAGUCAUAAGCUAUGUCUAUAUGAAUGAAUUAUGUAAACAACACAUACGAUGCUUUAUAAACA
RNAcentral lists this long non-coding RNA (402 nucleotides) under Elaeis guineensis (African oil palm). RNAcentral describes it as "long non-coding RNA (EGUI_LNC041315)". The record is from RNAcentral. Lineage: Eukaryota; Viridiplantae; Streptophyta; Magnoliopsida; Arecales; Arecaceae.